CGGGAGGCAGCAGUGGGGAAUUUUGGACAAUGGGCGCAAGCCUGAUCCAGCAAUGCCGCGUGUGUGAAGAAGGCCUUCGGGUUGUAAAGCACUUUUGUCCGGAAAGAAAACCUCGUGGUUAAUACCCGUGGGGGAUGACGGUACCGGAAGAAUAAGCACCGGCUAACUACGUGCCAGCAGCCGCGGUAAUACGUAGGGUGCAAGCGUUAAUCGGAAUUACUGGGCGUAAAGCGUGCGCAGGCGGUUCGCUAAGACAGAUGUGAAAUCCCCGGGCUUAACCUGGGAACUGCAUUU
RNAcentral lists this ribosomal RNA (294 nucleotides) under uncultured Burkholderia sp. RNAcentral's name for it is "partial 16S ribosomal RNA". It matches the Rfam family "Bacterial small subunit ribosomal RNA", at positions 342 to 628 of the family's 1533-position model. The record is from RNAcentral. Lineage: Bacteria; Pseudomonadati; Pseudomonadota; Betaproteobacteria; Burkholderiales; Burkholderiaceae.